RNAcentral lists this unclassified non-coding RNA (243 nucleotides) under fungal sp. RNAcentral's name for it is "partial internal transcribed spacer region". The stretch from base 1 to 46 matches the Rfam family "Eukaryotic small subunit ribosomal RNA", at positions 1786 to 1831 of the family's 1831-position model. The record is from RNAcentral. Lineage: Eukaryota; Fungi.
AAGUCGUAACAAGGUAACCGUAGGUGAACCUGCGGUUGGAUCAUUAAUAUAAUGACGCUUUUGCAGCUGAGGAGGACUGUAUGGUCUAACUCGCUGUAAAAGUGACUAACCAUUUGUGCACUGUGAAGUAUUUUGGGUCUAGCGUUAAACCUAGGCCCUGACAUUUGUAAAACCAUUUUUAAACUUGACUAAAAUUUUAAAUAUAAAAAUUUAAAACUAUAGACAACGGAUCUCUUGGUUCUC